AGAGCCUAACUUGGCUGUUUUUUCGAGAGUAACAAAACCCUACCCUCGGUUUUCACCGAAAACGCCCAGAUUCACACAAAUUAGAUCGAGUUCGAAGAACCCUAAAAUUCAAAUUUGGGGUUUUUUGCUCAAACUUCAUAAGCAAGCUAUUUAAGUGUUCUCUAGCCCUUUUAAACUAAAAAGGCAUGAUUUUUCCUACAAUUUUCCUCUGAUUUGAUGAAGUCAAGAUGGUUAAAUCACGCAGGGGCAAAGAAAAAGAAACCGCACCACAGGAGGAUGUAGCGGUUGGGUCGAAAUGGGCGAGAAGAGGUACCGGAGUUGAGAUCCGGGAAAUCGCUAUGGAUGAUUUUGUUCAAGCUCCACGGGGGACACGAUGAUGUUCCCUACCGCCCUACGUGGAGAGAUGGUCCUCUUUAUAAACAAGAAGCCGCGUAUCAGGCUGAACUCUUCUAUGAAAAGAUGGGUGAUACACACUCUAUUAGAUCAAAUACUUGCUUUGAGAAGCGCAUCCAUAGACCCGAUCUUAGGGCGUUGGGAUUGUAUGAAAAAUUUACUGAACUUGGUUGAGAAGAGGUGUUGGAGUUUCGGGGUAAUGAGAGUGGAGAAGUUUAUCUUCGAAGUGUUACGGAAUGGUUGAGUACGCUGACGAAGAAUGACGGGAAUGAUCCGCCGAGAACCGUCACACUGACGGGAAAGGUUAACGGGAAGCCGACAACCAUGUCUUUGGCUUCAUUGAGUCAGAUUGCAAAAUUUGAUUCUAAGGCGGAUAGUUUCUACACUUAUAUCA
RNAcentral lists this long non-coding RNA (787 nucleotides) under Helianthus annuus (common sunflower). Lineage: Eukaryota; Viridiplantae; Streptophyta; Magnoliopsida; Asterales; Asteraceae. The record is from RNAcentral.